This 301-nucleotide ribosomal RNA is filed under the name uncultured bacterium. Its description in RNAcentral is "partial 16S ribosomal RNA". It matches the Rfam family "Bacterial small subunit ribosomal RNA", at positions 509 to 807 of the family's 1533-position model. The record is from RNAcentral.
CAGCAGCCGCGGGAAUACCGAGGAUGCAAGCGUUAUCCGGAAUGAUUGGGCGUAAAGGGCUCGCAGGCGGUUUCUUAAGUCUGAUGUGAAAGCCCCCGGCUCAACCGGGGAGGGUCAUUGGAAACUGGGAAACUUGAGUGCAGAAGAGGAGAGUGGAAUUCCACGUGUAGCGGUGAAAUGCGUAGAGAUGUGGAGGAACACCAGUGGCGAAGGCGACUCUCUGGUCUGUAACUGACGCUGAGGAGCGAAAGCGUGGGGAGCGAACAGGAUUAGAUACCCCGGUAGUCCCUGUCUCUUAUAC